This 492-nucleotide ribosomal RNA is filed under the name uncultured bacterium. RNAcentral describes it as "partial 16S ribosomal RNA". It matches the Rfam family "Bacterial small subunit ribosomal RNA", at positions 29 to 507 of the family's 1533-position model. The record is from RNAcentral.
AGUGAACGCUGGCGGUAGGCCUAACACAUGCAAGUCGAACGGCAGCACAGUAAGAGCUUGCUCUUACGGGUGGCGAGUGGCGGACGGGUGAGGAAUACAUCGGAAUCUACUUUUUCGUGGGGGAUAACGUAGGGAAACUUACGCUAAUACCGCAUACGACCUACGGGUGAAAGCAGGGGAUCUUCGGACCUUGCGCGAUUGAAUGAGCCGAUGUCGGAUUAGCUAGUUGGCGGGGUAAAGGCCCACCAAGGCGACGAUCCGUAGUUGGUCUGAGAGGAUGAUCAGCCACACUGGAACUGAGACACGGUCCAGACUCCUACGGGAGGCAGCAGUGGGGAAUAUUGGACAAUGGGCGCAAGCCUGAUCCAGCCAUACCGCGUGGGUGAAGAAGGCCUUCGGGUUGUAAAGCCCUUUUGUUGGGAAAGAAAAGCAGCAGGUUAAUACCCCGCUGUUCUGACGGUACCCAAAGAAUAAGCACCGGCUAACUUCGUC